RNAcentral lists this ribosomal RNA (303 nucleotides) under Xanthomonas vasicola pv. musacearum NCPPB 2005. RNAcentral describes it as "bacterial LSU rRNA". It matches the Rfam family "Bacterial large subunit ribosomal RNA", at positions 1324 to 1631 of the family's 2925-position model. The record is from RNAcentral. Lineage: Bacteria; Pseudomonadati; Pseudomonadota; Gammaproteobacteria; Lysobacterales; Lysobacteraceae.
AAAAGCCCGCACGCCGAAAGCCCAAGGUUUCCUUGCGCAACGUUAAUCGACGCAGGGUUAGUCGGUCCCUAAGGCGAGGGCGAAAGCCGUAGUCGAUGGGAAGCAGGUUAAUAUUCCUGCACCUCGCGUGAGUGCGAUGGAGGGACGGAGAAGGUUAGGUGUACCGGGCGUUGGUUGUCCCGGGGAAAGGCGGUAGGUUUGGAUCUUUGGCAAAUCCGGGAUCCUUUAAGACCGAGCACCGAGACGAGCCUUUAUGGCGAAGUCACUGAUACCACGCUUCCAGGAAAAGCUCCUAAGCUUCAG